This is a non-coding RNA of Acanthosepion pharaonis, 89 nucleotides long. The record is from the annotation of a GenBank genome assembly. Lineage: Eukaryota; Metazoa; Mollusca; Cephalopoda; Sepiida; Sepiidae.
CAGUUCCCGUACGAUCACCGAGGUUGAGCAACGUUGAGCCUGCUCAGUACCUAGAUGGGUGACCGCUUGGGAAUACCAGGUACUGUAAG